RNAcentral lists this ribosomal RNA (500 nucleotides) under uncultured Actinomycetes bacterium. RNAcentral describes it as "bacterial SSU rRNA". It matches the Rfam family "Bacterial small subunit ribosomal RNA", at positions 66 to 583 of the family's 1533-position model. Lineage: Bacteria; Bacillati; Actinomycetota; Actinomycetes. The record is from RNAcentral.
GCGGAAAGGCCCUUCGGGGUACUCGAGCGGCGAACGGGUGAGUAACACGUGAGCAACCUGCCCCAGGCUCUGGGAUAACCCUCGGAAACGGGGGCUAAUACCGGAUAGGACCUUUCACCGCAUGGUGGGGGGUGGAAAGUUUUUUCGGCCUGGGAUGGGCUCGCGGCCUAUCAGCUUGUUGGUGGGGUGACGGCCUACCAAGGCGACGACGGGUAGCCGGCCUGAGAGGGCGACCGGCCACACUGGGACUGAGACACGGCCCAGACUCCUACGGGAGGCAGCAGUGGGGAAUAUUGCACAAUGGGCGAAAGCCUGAUGCAGCGACGCCGCGUGAGGGAUGACGGCCUUCGGGUUGUAAACCUCUUUCAGCUCCGACGAAGCGCAAGUGACGGUAGGAGCAGAAGAAGCGCCGGCCAACUACGUGCCAGCAGCCGCGGUAAGACGUAGGGCGCGAGCGUUGUCCGGAUUUAUUGGGCGUAAAGAGCUCGUAGGCGGCUUGU